CCGCUUUUAAUUUUGAUGUAGGCAACAGUUUGUUUCGUCCUUCGUGAUUCAUUGGAUUCGUAUGAAGGCGGGAAUACUUAUUCCUUCAUGAAAGAAGCACAAGGCAAUGCGGAAAUCAAUACUGGAGUCCCAGCGGUGCUGACCGGAGACACAGAAGAAGGGGAAAAAAGCACAUCCGCACAGUGAAGAUCACAGAAAACACACACGGACCACUGAGGAAGAGCAUUCAGAGGUUAGCAUUUUUGCUCAAAAAUACACAAGCAUC
RNAcentral lists this long non-coding RNA (265 nucleotides) under Danio rerio (zebrafish). RNAcentral's name for it is "lncRNA (ENSDARG00000117374.1)". The record is from RNAcentral. Lineage: Eukaryota; Metazoa; Chordata; Actinopteri; Cypriniformes; Danionidae.